Long non-coding RNA from Drosophila obscura, 1597 nucleotides. RefSeq lists it as uncharacterized. Lineage: Eukaryota; Metazoa; Arthropoda; Insecta; Diptera; Drosophilidae. The transcript has 3 exons. The record is from RefSeq and is a predicted model, not a curated record.
AGAAUUUCAAAAGAAACUCAAUCAGGCAGGCUCCGGUUUUCACAUUCACUCUGCGUUUUACUUUUCAGCAAAAAGUUAUAUUUUUCAUUUCAAGGCGCUCUGGAUUUGUUUACUCUUUGCGCCAAGUUCACUGCUGUUAUACCUAACAGAGAUUUAUCGAUAGCCAAAUCGGGCUGCCACUGCUGUUAAGAUGAAUUUACUAAUUGUAUUUGCCCUGACCAAUUUUUUCAGAUCCAAUUUUGAGGUUGGCUUAAAUAAUAAUGAUUUAUAAAUAGGGCACUAGCUCAAUUGCCCAGAUUUGUUUAAUUGUAUAAAAACCCGGGUGCUUUUAAUUUCAGCGAGGAAUUUGUUGCCGUUUUGAAAACGGAAAAUUCUUGUGUUUAACGAGUACGGAGCAUCAGACUUUUCGUUUUGAAAAGUAAAUCACAUUUUUAUUGUGAAAGUUCAAACCGGAGCCUGACUGAAUGACUGACAAAAAAAACAAACAAUCACACACGGUCUAUCUGAGAAAUAUUUCCCGUUUUUUUUAUUUGGAAUAAAUACAAAUAUAUGGAGAAGUAAAUGUUAUAUCCUCUGCACAAUGAACCCAUUACAGGGGAACGGUGGGAUAUUUUGACAAAUGUGAAACUCCUGUUCACACUGGCACCACCCAUGGAAAAAUAGUUGGAUGAAAAUAAAAUAACUAAGAUUUGUGCGGAAAAUGAUAUUGCUUAUUAAGCAAAAAUGGAUAGUUGUAAUUAAUGAGUCAAUAAUUAAUGAAUUCAACGAGGCGUAGAUAUGAACAUGAAUGUUCGAUUCGUGCCGCUAACAUGGACUGGGCCAUAUCCAUAUAAACAAGGGAAUUUUUUCGAGGACCAUGCAAAUCCACAAUACUCUACUGCCAAAUAUCAAUCAAAAUAUUUCCCAUUUCAGCAGCCUACUUCAACCUGCUGCUUGUUGUUUUUCUAAUGGCUGUAAAAUUAUGGUGCGCAGGAAUAAGAAGCAAAUACAUACAGUGGCGACCAAAAGUGCAUGUUCACGACACUGACUUUCGUCACUCAUAAAAAAUCAACGAAACUAGAUAAUCCAACAAUUUAAAUUAUUUUAAACUUAUCAUUUAAUUCGAAACAAAUUGGAGUAAAAAACAGAAACUAAAAUCCAAAAAACCCCGCAUGUACUCACUUUUGCACGUUUAAUGACUUGCACCUAUUUUCGCUCUCCCACUUCUCUUAUCAGCAAAAUCAGUAGAUUCAUGUUUAUGUUACUUCUUAUGGUUCGUAUUAGAGCCCUGCAUGAAUCCACAUGAUUCAUAAAAUAUACUCAUGCCCCUUCAAUGCGUUCGAUCAUUACGAAUCAUGCCUUCAGUAAGAUUUAAAUAUCCCCAAAUCACUAAAAAACCGAAUUCGAGCAGUGCGAAUCAAUAUCAGCAAGCUUCGUUCGCAUGGCUCUGAACUGAUUCAAAACAAACAAGGUGAAAACUUCCUUUGCAUGCGUACACAUGACAGUAUGUAUGUAAAACAAUAUUGCGCACACGGAGUGUGUGAUUAUUGUUGUAUAUGUAUGUGUGUGUAUUCCAGAAUAUUCCACUGUGCGCAUUGCUGAACAGCUGCGUGGCUUU